This 468-nucleotide ribosomal RNA is filed under the name uncultured bacterium. RNAcentral's name for it is "partial 16S ribosomal RNA". It matches the Rfam family "Bacterial small subunit ribosomal RNA", at positions 28 to 507 of the family's 1533-position model. The record is from RNAcentral.
GACGAACGCUGGCGGCGUGCUUAACACAUGCAAGUCGAACGGAAAGGCGCUGAUUUUGUGGGGUGCUCGAGUGGCGAACGGGUGAGUAACACGCGAGUAACCUGCCCUUGACUUUGGGAUAACUUCAGGAAACUGGGGCUAUUACCGGAUAGGAGCUCCUGCUGCAUGGUGGGCGUUGGAAAGUUUCGGCGGUUGGGGAUGGACUCGCGGCUUAUCAGCUUGUUGGUGGGGUAGUGGCAUACCAAGGCUUUGACGGGUAGCCGGCCUGAGAGGGUGACCGGCCACAUUGGGACUGAGGUACGGCGCAGACUCCUACGGGACGCAGCAGUGGGGAGUAUUGCGCAAUGGGCGGACGCCUGAUGCAGCAACGCCGCGUGCGGGAUGACGGCCUUCGAGUUGUAAACCGCUUUCGCCUGUGACGAAGCGUGAGUGACGGUAAUGGGUAAAGAAGCACCGGCUAACUACGUG